This 464-nucleotide ribosomal RNA is filed under the name Vreelandella stevensii. Its description in RNAcentral is "partial 16S ribosomal RNA". It matches the Rfam family "Bacterial small subunit ribosomal RNA", at positions 338 to 794 of the family's 1533-position model. Lineage: Bacteria; Pseudomonadati; Pseudomonadota; Gammaproteobacteria; Oceanospirillales; Halomonadaceae. The record is from RNAcentral.
CCUACGGGUGGCAGCAGUGGGGAAUAUUGGACAAUGGGCGAAAGCCUGAUCCAGCCAUGCCGCGUGUGUGAAGAAGGCCUUCGGGUUGUAAAGCACUUUCAGUGGGGAAGAAAGCCUUGGGGCUAAUACCCUCGAGGAAGGACAUCACCCACAGAAGAAGCACCGGCUAACUCCGUGCCAGCAGCCGCGGUAAUACGGAGGGUGCGAGCGUUAAUCGGAAUUACUGGGCGUAAAGCGCGCGUAGGCGGUCUGAUAAGCCGGUUGUGAAAGCCCCGGGCUCAACCUGGGAACGGCACCCGGAACUGUCAGGCUAGAGUGCAGGAGAGGAAGGUAGAAUUCCCGGUGUAGCGGUGAAAUGCGUAGAGAUCGGGAGGAAUACCAGUGGCGAAGGCGGCCUUCUGGACUGACACUGACGCUGAGGUGCGAAGGCGUGGGUAGCAAACAGGAUUACAUACCCGAGUAGU